UACGUAGGUGGCAAGCGUUGUCCGGAUUUACUGGGCGUAAAGAGCGCGCAGGCGGUUCAUCAAGUCGAAUGUGAAAGCCCCCGGCUUAACUGGGGAGGGUCAUUCGAUACUGCUGAACUUGAAGGCAGGAGAGGGAAGUGGAAUUCCCGGUGUAGUGGUGAAAUGCGUAGAUAUCGGGAGGAACACCAGUGGCGAAGGCGACUUCCUGGCCUGUUCUUGACGCUGAGGCGCGAAAGCUAGGGGAGCGAACGGG
Molecule: ribosomal RNA, 253 nt
Filed under: uncultured bacterium
Lineage: Bacteria
Description: partial 16S ribosomal RNA
Rfam family: Bacterial small subunit ribosomal RNA
Source: RNAcentral